CGUACAAAACGCCGAUAAAAAUAUUGAGCCGAAAUUCAGAAAACAAUUUGUGCAUUUGGAUACUCCUAAUAUUCCUUGCGAUAAUCCUCCGAUUAUAUUUUGUUAAAUAUUAUGUUGAUGCACAAACGAUAUUCUGUUGCGAGGUGAAUGGACGGUACGCAAAUGGCGUAUGAAUAAAAAAUUGAACGGUGCGCGGUGCCUUAUUACCGUUAUACGUCUUGCUAAAAAAGUCCGAUAAGAAUAAUAGUGAAUGAGCCACAC
Molecule: non-coding RNA, 261 nt
Organism: Cinara cedri
Lineage: Eukaryota; Metazoa; Arthropoda; Insecta; Hemiptera; Aphididae
Source: the annotation of a GenBank genome assembly